UCCUUAGUGGCUCAGACGGUAAAGCGUCAGCCUGCAAUGCAGGAGACUUGGGUUCAAUCCCUGGGUCAGGAA
Molecule: transfer RNA, 72 nt
Organism: Ovis aries (sheep)
Lineage: Eukaryota; Metazoa; Chordata; Mammalia; Artiodactyla; Bovidae
Rfam family: tRNA
About the family: Transfer RNA (tRNA) molecules are approximately 80 nucleotides in length. Their secondary structure includes four short double-helical elements and three loops (D, anti-codon, and T loops). Further hydrogen bonds mediate the characteristic L-shaped molecular structure. tRNAs have two regions of fundamental functional importance: the anti-codon, which is responsible for specific mRNA codon recognition, and the 3' end, to which the tRNAs corresponding amino acid is attached (by aminoacyl-tRNA synthetases). tRNAs cope with the degeneracy of the genetic code in two manners: having more than one tRNA (with a specific anti-codon) for a particular amino acid; and 'wobble' base-pairing, i.e. permitting non-standard base-pairing at the 3rd anti-codon position.
Source: Rfam